This 546-nucleotide ribosomal RNA is filed under the name Rhodococcus sp. PDA27. RNAcentral's name for it is "bacterial SSU rRNA". It matches the Rfam family "Bacterial small subunit ribosomal RNA", at positions 338 to 895 of the family's 1533-position model. Lineage: Bacteria; Bacillati; Actinomycetota; Actinomycetes; Mycobacteriales; Nocardiaceae. The record is from RNAcentral.
CCUACGGGAGGCAGCAGUGGGGAAUAUUGCACAAUGGGCGAAAGCCUGAUGCAGCGACGCCGCGUGAGGGAUGAAGGCCUUCGGGUUGUAAACCUCUUUCAGCAGGGACGAAGCGCAAGUGACGGUACCUGCAGAAGAAGCACCGGCUAACUACGUGCCAGCAGCCGCGGUAAUACGUAGGGUGCGAGCGUUGUCCGGAAUUACUGGGCGUAAAGAGUUCGUAGGCGGUUUGUCGCGUCGUUUGUGAAAACCCGGGGCUCAACUUCGGGCUUGCAGGCGAUACGGGCAGACUUGAGUGUUUCAGGGGAGACUGGAAUUCCUGGUGUAGCGGUGAAAUGCGCAGAUAUCAGGAGGAACACCGGUGGCGAAGGCGGGUCUCUGGGAAACAACUGACGCUGAGGAACGAAAGCGUGGGUAGCAAACAGGAUUAGAUACCCUGGUAGUCCACGCCGUAAACGGUGGGCGCUAGGUGUGGGUUCCUUCCACGGAAUCUGUGCCGUAGCUAACGCAUUAAGCGCCCCGCCUGGGGAGUACGGCCGCAAGGCU